UUCCCAUUAGCUUAAUGGUAGAGCAGGAUUUUCCUAAAAUCUUGAUCCAAGUUCAAGUCUUGGAUGGGAAU
Molecule: transfer RNA, 71 nt
Filed under: Spathularia flavida
Lineage: Eukaryota; Fungi; Ascomycota; Leotiomycetes; Rhytismatales; Cudoniaceae
Description: tRNA-Arg
Rfam family: tRNA
About the family: Transfer RNA (tRNA) molecules are approximately 80 nucleotides in length.
Source: RNAcentral